UCUAGCUUAGUAUAUUUAAUACAUUCGAUUUUCGUCUUAUAGUGCUUGAGAAAGCGUGUGUUAUUUUUA
RNAcentral lists this transfer RNA (69 nucleotides) under Spongiobothrium variabile. RNAcentral describes it as "tRNA-Tyr". Lineage: Eukaryota; Metazoa; Platyhelminthes; Cestoda; Rhinebothriidea; Rhinebothriidae. The record is from RNAcentral.